This is a long non-coding RNA of Hippocampus comes (tiger tail seahorse), 178 nucleotides long. RefSeq lists it as uncharacterized. NCBI's taxonomy places the organism in Eukaryota, Metazoa, Chordata, Actinopteri, Syngnathiformes, Syngnathidae. The record is from RefSeq and is a predicted model, not a curated record. The transcript has 2 exons.
GCAGUCUUAAGUCCUGCUUUUGUCGGAAGUGUAGUCCGGUUUACGAGACGAUCGAGACGUGACAAGAUGACGGAAAGACACUGCGGUUGUUGGAUGUGUGUCACGGCAGUAGAAGACAGACGCUGCACAAGUGUCCUGGUCGACACCAGUAAGUAUAUUAUUACUUUCCAGUCAUACA